GGCUGGAUAGCUCAGUCAGUAGAGCAUCAGACUUUUAAUCUGAGGGUCCAGGGUCCAUGUCCCUGUUUGGGCA
This 73-nucleotide transfer RNA is filed under the name Podarcis lilfordi (Lilford's wall lizard). It matches the Rfam family "tRNA". Rfam says of the family: Transfer RNA (tRNA) molecules are approximately 80 nucleotides in length. Their secondary structure includes four short double-helical elements and three loops (D, anti-codon, and T loops). The record is from Rfam by way of RNAcentral. Lineage: Eukaryota; Metazoa; Chordata; Lepidosauria; Squamata; Lacertidae.